This 401-nucleotide ribosomal RNA is filed under the name uncultured soil bacterium. Its description in RNAcentral is "bacterial SSU rRNA". It matches the Rfam family "Bacterial small subunit ribosomal RNA", at positions 26 to 386 of the family's 1533-position model. The record is from RNAcentral.
AGAUUGAACGCUGGCGGCAUGCUUUACACAUGCAAGUCGAGCGGCAGCGCGGGUGAGGGCAACCGAGCCUGGCGGCGAGCGGCGAACGGGUGAGUAAUAGAUAGGAACGUAUCCGGGAGUGGGGGAUAACUAGCCGAAAGGUUAGCUAAUACCGCAUAUUCUCUUAGGAGGAAAGCGGGGGACUCCUAAACCGAGCACACCGGGUGGUGUGUUGGGUUUAGGAGCCUCGCGCUCGCGGAGUGGCCUAUCUCCGAUUAGCUAGUUGGUGAGGUAAAGCUCACAAGGCGACGAUCGGUAGCUGGUCUGGAGAGGAUGGAUCAGCCACACGUGGGACUGAGACACGGCCCAGACUCCUACGGGAGCAGCAGUGGGUAAUUUGGCAAGUCGGGGGCAACCCGUGA